Long non-coding RNA from Aricia agestis (brown argus), 77 nucleotides. RefSeq lists it as uncharacterized. The record is from RefSeq and is a predicted model, not a curated record. The transcript has 3 exons. Lineage: Eukaryota; Metazoa; Arthropoda; Insecta; Lepidoptera; Lycaenidae.
GAGUGGGUGUGAUGCUAUGUAGAGUGUACCAUUGUAUGGUAGACAAGCUAAACCAACCAAAUUUUAGUUUGCUGUUA